UGGGGAAUAUUGCACAAUGGGCGCAAGCCUGAUGCAGCCAUGCCGCGUGUAUGAAGAAGGCCUUCGGGUUGUAAAGUACUUUCAGUCGGGAGGAAGGUGUCAAGGUUAAUAACCUUGGCAAUUGACGUUACCGACAGAAGAAGCACCGGCUAACUCCGUGCCAGCAGCCGCGGUAAUACGGAGGGUGCAAGCGUUAAUCGGAAUUACUGGGCGUAAAGCGCACGCAGGCGGUUGAUUGAGUCAGAUGUGAAAUCCCCGGGCUUAACCCGGGAAUUGCAUCUGAUACUGGUCAGCUAGAGUCUUGUAGAGGGGGGUAGAAUUCCAUGUGUAGCGGUGAAAUGCGUAGAGAUGUGGAGGAAUACCGGUGGCGAAGGCGGCCCCCUGGACAAAGACUGACGCUCAGGUGCGAAAGCGUGGGGAGCAAACA
This 427-nucleotide ribosomal RNA is filed under the name Chloroflexota bacterium. RNAcentral's name for it is "Chloroflexi bacterium partial 16S ribosomal RNA". It matches the Rfam family "Bacterial small subunit ribosomal RNA", at positions 355 to 774 of the family's 1533-position model. Lineage: Bacteria; Bacillati; Chloroflexota. The record is from RNAcentral. RNAcentral also lists the same sequence under 1 other name.